CCUACGGGUGGCAGCAGUGGGGAAUAUUGCUCAAUGGGCGCAAGCCUGAAGCAGCCAUGCCGCGUGUAGGAUGAAGGCCUUAGGGUUGUUAACCACUUUUGUUAGAGAAGAUUAUGAUGGUAUUUAUCGCCUUAUCACUGGAUAUUUCCGUGCCAGCAGCCGCGGUAAUACGGCGGGUGCAAGCGUUACUCGGAAUAACUGGGCGUAAAGGGGGCGUAGGCGGUGUAAUAAGUCAGAUGUGAAAUCCUUGGGCUAAACAAGAGAACUGCAUUUGAAACUGGCAGUCUGGAGUGUUGGAGAGGUAGGUGGAAUUCUUGGUGUAGGGGUGAAAUGCGUAGAGAUCAAGAGGAAUACUGAUUGCGAAGGCGACCGACUGGACCAUGACUGACGCUGAUGCACGAAAGCGUGGGGAGCAAACAGGAUUAGAUACCCGUGUAGUC
RNAcentral lists this ribosomal RNA (440 nucleotides) under uncultured bacterium. RNAcentral's name for it is "partial 16S ribosomal RNA". It matches the Rfam family "Bacterial small subunit ribosomal RNA", at positions 338 to 795 of the family's 1533-position model. The record is from RNAcentral.